RNAcentral lists this ribosomal RNA (406 nucleotides) under Pseudomonas protegens. RNAcentral's name for it is "partial 23S ribosomal RNA". It matches the Rfam family "Bacterial large subunit ribosomal RNA", at positions 2542 to 2925 of the family's 2925-position model. Lineage: Bacteria; Pseudomonadati; Pseudomonadota; Gammaproteobacteria; Pseudomonadales; Pseudomonadaceae. The record is from RNAcentral.
ACAUCCUGGGGCUGAAGCCGGUCCCAAGGGUAUGGCUGUUCGCCAUUUAAAGUGGUACGCGAGCUGGGUUUAGAACGUCGUGAGACAGUUCGGUCCCUAUCUGCCGUGGACGUUUGAGAUUUGAGAGGGGCUGCUCCUAGUACGAGAGGACCGGAGUGGACGAACCUCUGGUGUUCCGGUUGUCACGCCAGUGGCAUUGCCGGGUAGCUAUGUUCGGAAAAGAUAACCGCUGAAAGCAUCUAAGCGGGAAACUUGCCUCAAGAUGAGAUCUCACUGGAACCUUGAGUUCCCUAAAGGGCCGUCGAAGACUACGACGUUGAUAGGUUGGGUGUGUAAGCGCUGUGAGGCGUUGAGCUAACCAAUACUAAUUGCCCGUGAGGCUUGACCAUAUAACACCCAAGCAAUU